Molecule: ribosomal RNA, 1223 nt
Filed under: Leuconostoc mesenteroides
Lineage: Bacteria; Bacillati; Bacillota; Bacilli; Lactobacillales; Lactobacillaceae
Description: bacterial SSU rRNA
Rfam family: Bacterial small subunit ribosomal RNA
Source: RNAcentral
UUUCAAGUGAGUGGCGAACGGGUGAGUAACACGUGGACAACCUGCCUCAAGGCUGGGGAUAACAUUUGGAAACAGAUGCUAAUACCGAAUAAAACUUAGUGUCGCAUGACACAAAGUUAAAAGGCGCUUCGGCGUCACCUAGAGAUGGAUCCGCGGUGCAUUAGUUAGUUGGUGGGGUAAAGGCCUACCAAGACAAUGAUGCAUAGCCGAGUUGAGAGACUGAUCGGCCACAUUGGGACUGAGACACGGCCCAAACUCCUACGGGAGGCUGCAGUAGGGAAUCUUCCACAAUGGGCGAAAGCCUGAUGGAGCAACGCCGCGUGUGUGAUGAAGGCUUUCGGGUCGUAAAGCACUGUUGUAUGGGAAGAACAGCUAGAAUAGGAAAUGAUUUUAGUUUGACGGUACCAUACCAGAAAGGGACGGCUAAAUACGUGCCAGCAGCCGCGGUAAUACGUAUGUCCCGAGCGUUAUCCGGAUUUAUUGGGCGUAAAGCGAGCGCAGACGGUUUAUUAAGUCUGAUGUGAAAGCCCGGAGCUCAACUCCGGAAUGGCAUUGGAAACUGGUUAACUUGAGUGCAGUAGAGGUAAGUGGAACUCCAUGUGUAGCGGUGGAAUGCGUAGAUAUAUGGAAGAACACCAGUGGCGAAGGCGGCUUACUGGACUGCAACUGACGUUGAGGCUCGAAAGUGUGGGUAGCAAACAGGAUUAGAUACCCUGGUAGUCCACACCGUAAACGAUGAACACUAGGUGUUAGGAGGUUUCCGCCUCUUAGUGCCGAAGCUAACGCAUUAAGUGUUCCGCCUGGGGAGUACGACCGCAAGGUUGAAACUCAAAGGAAUUGACGGGGACCCGCACAAGCGGUGGAGCAUGUGGUUUAAUUCGAAGCAACGCGAAGAACCUUACCAGGUCUUGACAUCCUUUGAAGCUUUAGAAGAUAGAAGUGUUCUCUUCGGAGACAAAGUGACAGGUGGUGCAUGGUCGUCGUCAGCUCGUGUCGUGAGAUGUUGGGUUAAGUCCCGCAACGAGCGCAACCCUUAUUGUUAGUUGCCAGCAUUCAGAUGGGCACUCUAGCGAGACUGCCGUGACAAACCGGAGGAAGGCGGGGACAACGUCGAAUAUCAUGCCCCUUAUGACCGGGGCUACCACGGGCUACAAGGGGGUAACAACAAUUGCCACCCCGCGGGGGGGAGCAAACCCUUAAGAGACGCCCCCCUUCGGAAUUGU